UGAAGAGCUCAGUUGGUAGAGUACCAGAGUCUACCAUUAAUAGACUCUACCAUUAUUAUUAUUAUUAUUAUUAUUAUUAUACCCCGCCCAUCUGGCUGGUUUUCUCCUCUUAAUCUCAGGGUCGUGGGUUCGAGCCCCAAUUUGGGCAA
Podarcis lilfordi (Lilford's wall lizard) is the source of this 149-nucleotide non-coding RNA. The record is from the annotation of a GenBank genome assembly. Lineage: Eukaryota; Metazoa; Chordata; Lepidosauria; Squamata; Lacertidae.